RNAcentral lists this ribosomal RNA (269 nucleotides) under uncultured archaeon. Its description in RNAcentral is "partial 16S ribosomal RNA". It matches the Rfam family "Archaeal small subunit ribosomal RNA", at positions 477 to 746 of the family's 1478-position model. The record is from RNAcentral.
CAGCACCUCAAGUGGUCAGGAUGAUUAUUGGGCCUAAAGCAUCCGUAGCCGGCGCUGUAAGUUUUCGGUUAAAUCUGUACGCUCAACGUACAGGCUGCCGGGAAUACUGCAGCGCUAGGGAGUGGGAGAGGUAGACGGUACUCGGUAGGAAGGGGUAAAAUCCUUUGAUCUAUUGAUGACCACCUGUGGCGAAGGCGGUCUACCAGGACACGUCCGACGGUGAGGGAUGAAAGCUGGGGGAGCAAACCGGAUUAGAUACCCGAGUAGUC